This 840-nucleotide ribosomal RNA is filed under the name Xanthoparmelia cumberlandia. RNAcentral describes it as "eukaryotic LSU rRNA". It matches the Rfam family "Eukaryotic large subunit ribosomal RNA", at positions 81 to 936 of the family's 3401-position model. The record is from RNAcentral. Lineage: Eukaryota; Fungi; Ascomycota; Lecanoromycetes; Lecanorales; Parmeliaceae.
CAGUAACGGCGAGUGAAGCGGCAACAGCUCAAAUUUGAAAUCUGGCUCCUUCGGGGUCCGAAUUGUAAUUUGUAGAGAGUGCUUCGGGCGAGACCUCGGUCUAAGUCCAUUGGAACAUGGUGUCAUAGAGGGUGAGAAUCCCGUAUGCGACCGUGGCUCGAGCCCAUGUGAAGCCUCUUCGACGAGUCGAGUUGUUUGGGAAUGCAGCUCAAAAUGGGUGGUAAAUUUCAUCUAAAGCUAAAUACUGGCUGGAGACCGAUAGCGCACAAGUAGAGUGAUCGAAAGAUGAAAAGCACUUUGGAAAGAGAGUCAAACAGUACGUGAAAUUGUUGAAAGGGAAGCGCUUGCAACCAGACCUGCCCGUAGGCGAUCAGCCGCUGUUCUCAGCGGUGUAUUCGCUCUGCGAUCAGGCCAGCAUCGGUUUCGGCGGUCGGAUAAAGACCUUGGGAAUGUAGCUUCCCUUCGGGGAAGUCUUAUAGCCCUCGGUGUAAUGCGGCCAGCCGGGACCGAGGACCGCGCUUCGGCUAGGAUGCUGGCGUAAUGGUUGUAAGCGACCCGUCUUGAAACACGGACCAAGGAGUCUAACAUCUAUGCGAGUGUUUGGGUGUCAAACCCAUACGCGGAAUGAAAGUGAACGGAGGUGAGAACCCUUAAGGGCGCAUCAUCGACCGAUCCAGAUGUCUUCGGAUGGAUUUGAGUAUGAGCAUAGCUGUUGGGACCCGAAAGAUGGUGAACUAUGCCUGAAUAGGGUGAAGCCAGAGGAAACUCUGGUGGAGGCUCGCAGCGGUUCUGACGUGCAAAUCGAUCGUCAAAUUUGGGUAUAGGGGCGAAAGACUAAUC